Molecule: non-coding RNA, 56 nt
Organism: Bos taurus (domestic cattle)
Lineage: Eukaryota; Metazoa; Chordata; Mammalia; Artiodactyla; Bovidae
Source: Rfam
UGGCUCAGAUGGUAAAGCGUCUGCCUACAAUGCAGGAGACCUGGGUUCAAUCCCUG